GCAUGUAGGUUAAUAUUAGCAGCUUGUAAUCGUGUGCAAGGAAAUAUUAUAUCAUAAUAAAUUUCAGAUCAUACGUAAAAUAUCUCUAUAGCAACUUAAGAUGCUAAUGCUUAUUCAACAGAUUAGUUAGCUAUUGCGCAUGUAUUUGAAAGGUGGUCAUAGAAGCUAUUGCGCAUGUAUUUGAAAGGUGGUCAUAGAAAGAACAGAAGUGUUCCGAAUAACAUCCGGUGUUCCGAAAGACUACAGAUAUCGUCCAAUAUAUACUGCGUAAACCCUCAGGGGUUUACGCAAAAA
This 294-nucleotide long non-coding RNA is filed under the name Mytilus galloprovincialis (Mediterranean mussel). The record is from RNAcentral. Lineage: Eukaryota; Metazoa; Mollusca; Bivalvia; Mytilida; Mytilidae.